GACAGAGGGUGCAAACGUUGCUCGGAAUCACUGGGCGUAAAGGGUGCGUAGGCGGGUCUUUAAGUCCGGGGUGAAAUCCUGGAGCUCAACUCCAGAACUGCCUUUGAUACUGAGGAUCUUGAGUUCGGGAGAGGUGAGUGGAACUGCGAGUGUAGAGGUGAAAUUCGUAGAUAUUCGCAAGAACACCUGUGGCGAAGGCGGCUCACUGGCCCGAUACUGACGCUGAGGCACGAAAGCGUGGGGAGCAAACAGG
RNAcentral lists this ribosomal RNA (253 nucleotides) under uncultured bacterium. RNAcentral's name for it is "partial 16S ribosomal RNA". It matches the Rfam family "Bacterial small subunit ribosomal RNA", at positions 524 to 776 of the family's 1533-position model. The record is from RNAcentral.